RNAcentral lists this ribosomal RNA (273 nucleotides) under uncultured bacterium. RNAcentral describes it as "partial 16S ribosomal RNA". It matches the Rfam family "Bacterial small subunit ribosomal RNA", at positions 524 to 796 of the family's 1533-position model. The record is from RNAcentral.
UACGAAGGGGGCUAGCGUUGUUCGGAAUCACUGGGCGUAAAGCGCACGUAGGCGGACUUUUAAGUCAGGGGUGAAAUCCCGGGGCUCAACCCCGGAACUGCCUUUGAUACUGGAAGUCUUGAGUCCGAGAGAGGUGAGUGGAACUCCGAGUGUAGAGGUGAAAUUCGUAGAUAUUCGGAAGAACACCAGUGGCGAAGGCGGCUCACUGGCUCGGUACUGACGCUGAGGUGCGAAAGCGUGGGGAGCAAACAGGAUUAGAUACCCCGGUAGUCC